This 465-nucleotide ribosomal RNA is filed under the name uncultured bacterium. Its description in RNAcentral is "partial 16S ribosomal RNA". It matches the Rfam family "Bacterial small subunit ribosomal RNA", at positions 339 to 795 of the family's 1533-position model. The record is from RNAcentral.
CUACGGGGGGCUCCAGUGGGGAAUAUUGGACAAUGGGGGAAACCCUGAUCCAGCAAUGCCGCGUGUGUGAAGAAGGCCUGCGGGUUGUAAAGCACUUUCGGUUGGGAGGACUGCUUCUAGCACUAAUAUUGUUGGAAGUUGACGUUACCUUCAGAAGAAGCACCGGCUAACUCCGUGCCAGCAGCCGCGGUAAUACGGAGGGAGCAAGCGUUAAUCGGAAUUACUGGGCGUAAAGCGCGCGUAGGCGGCUAGAUCAGUCGGGUGUGAAAGCCCCGGGCUUAACCUGGGAACUGCAUCCGAUACUGUCUAGCUUGAGUACAGGAGAGGAGAGUGGAAUUCCACAUGUAGCAGCGAAAUGCGUAGAUAUGUGGAGGAACACCAAUGGCGAAGGCAGCUCUCUGGCCUGAUACUGACGCUGAGGUGCGAAAGCGUGGGGAGCGAACAGGAUUAGAUACCCCCGUAGUC